UACAGAGGGGGCAAGCGUUGUUCGGAAUUACUGGGCGUAAAGAGCGCGUAGGCGGUGCGAUAAGUCUGGUGUGAAAUCCCUCGGCUCAAUCCAGGAAGUGCACUGGAUACUGUCGAACUAGAGUGCAGGAGAGGAGGGCGGAAUUCCCGGUGUAGAGGUGAAAUUCGUAGAUAUCAGGAGGAACAACAGAAGCGAAGGCGGCGCCCUGGACUGCUGCUGACGCUGAGGCGCGAAAGCGUGGGGAGCAAACAGG
RNAcentral lists this ribosomal RNA (253 nucleotides) under uncultured bacterium. RNAcentral describes it as "partial 16S ribosomal RNA". It matches the Rfam family "Bacterial small subunit ribosomal RNA", at positions 524 to 776 of the family's 1533-position model. The record is from RNAcentral.